CGGCGAGUGAAGCGGCAACAGCUCAAAUUUGAAAUCUGGCCCUAGGCCCGAAUUGUAAUUUGUAGAGGAUGCUUUUGGUGCGGUGCCUUCUGAGUUCCCUGGAACGGGACGCCAAAGAGGGUGAGAGCCCCGUAUAGUCGGACACCAAGCCUCUGUAAAGCUCCUUCGACGAGUCGAGUAGUUUGGGAAUGCUGCUCAAAAUGGGAGGUAAAUCUCUUCUAAAGCUAAAUACCGGCUAGAGACCGAUAGCGCACAAGUAGAGUGAUCGAAAGAUGAAAAGCACUUUGAAAAGAGGGUUAAACAGCACGUGAAAUUGUUGAAAGGGAAGCGCUUGUGACCAGACUUGCGCCCGGUUGAUCAUCCAGCGUUCUCGCUGGUGCACUCUGCCGGGCUCAGGCCAGCAUCGGUUCUCGUGGGGGGAUAAAAGCUUCGGGAAUGUAGCUCCCUCGGGAGUGUUAUAGCCCGCUGCAGAAUACCCUCGCGGGGACCGAGGUUCGCGCUCCGCAAGGAUGCUGGCGUAAUGGUCAUCAGCGACCCGUCUUGAAACACGGACCAAGGAGUCAAGCAUUAGGGCGAGUGUUUGGGUGUAAAACCCGCACGCGUAAUGAAAGUGAAUGUAGGUGAGAGCUUCGGCGCAUCAUCGACCGAUCCUGAUGUAUUCGGAUGGAUUUGAGUAAGAGCCUUACCGCUUGGACCCGAAAGAUGGUGAACUAUGCAUGAAUAGGGUGAAGCCAGAGGAAACUCUGGUGGAGCUCGCAGCGGUUCUGAC
This 769-nucleotide ribosomal RNA is filed under the name Fluminicola thailandensis. RNAcentral's name for it is "partial large subunit ribosomal RNA". It matches the Rfam family "Eukaryotic large subunit ribosomal RNA", at positions 87 to 890 of the family's 3401-position model. The record is from RNAcentral. Lineage: Eukaryota; Fungi; Ascomycota; Sordariomycetes; Papulosaceae.